AGCGAACGCUGGCGGCAGGCUUAACACAUGCAAGUCGAACGGUUGUAGCAAUACAGCAGUGGCAGACGGGUGAGUAACACGUGGGAACCUUCCUAGGGGUACGGAACAACUCAGGGAAACUUGAGCUAAUACCGUAUACGUCCGUGAGGAGAAAGAUUUAUCGCCCUUAGACGGGCCCGCGUCGGAUUAGCUAGUUGGUGGGGUAACGGCCUACCAAGGUGACGAUCCGUAGCUGAUCUUAGAGGAUGAUCAGCCACACUGGGACUGAGACACGGCCCAGACUCCUACGGGAGGCAGCAGUGGGGAAUCUUGGACAAUGGGCGCAAGCCUGAUCCAGCCAUGCCGCGUGAGUGAAGAAGGUCUUCGGAUUGUAAAGCUCUUUUGCCAGGGACGAUAAUGACGGUACCUGGAGAAUAAGCCCCGGCAAACUUCGUGCCAGCAGCCGCCGUAA
Molecule: ribosomal RNA, 451 nt
Filed under: uncultured bacterium
Lineage: Bacteria
Description: partial 16S ribosomal RNA
Rfam family: Bacterial small subunit ribosomal RNA
Source: RNAcentral